CCUACGGGUGGCAGCAGUGGGGAAUAUUGGACAAUGGGCGAAAGCCUGAUCCAGCCAUGCCGCGUGUGUGAAGAAGGCCUUCGGGUUGUAAAGCACUUUCAGUGGGGAAGAAAGCCUUGGGGCUAAUACCCUCGAGGAAGGACAUCACCCACAGAAGAAGCACCGGCUAACUCCGUGCCAGCAGCCGCGGUAAUACGGAGGGUGCGAGCGUUAAUCGGAAUUACUGGGCGUAAAGCGCGCGUAGGCGGUCUGAUAAGCCGGUUGUGAAAGCCCCGGGCUCAACCUGGGAACGGCAUCCGGUACUGUCAGGCUAGAGUACAGUAGAGGAAGGUAGAAUUCCCGGUGUAGCGGUGAAAUGCGUAGAUAUCACGAGGAAUACCAGUUGCGAAGGCAGCCUUCUGGACUGACACUGACGCUGAGGUUCGAAAGCGUGGGUAGCAAACAGGAUUAGAUACCCGUGUAGUC
This 465-nucleotide ribosomal RNA is filed under the name Vreelandella stevensii. RNAcentral's name for it is "partial 16S ribosomal RNA". It matches the Rfam family "Bacterial small subunit ribosomal RNA", at positions 338 to 795 of the family's 1533-position model. The record is from RNAcentral. Lineage: Bacteria; Pseudomonadati; Pseudomonadota; Gammaproteobacteria; Oceanospirillales; Halomonadaceae.